RNAcentral lists this ribosomal RNA (215 nucleotides) under Glomeromycotina sp. RNAcentral describes it as "partial small subunit ribosomal RNA". The stretch from base 39 to 215 matches the Rfam family "Eukaryotic small subunit ribosomal RNA", at positions 686 to 864 of the family's 1831-position model. Lineage: Eukaryota; Fungi; Glomeromycota. The record is from RNAcentral.
GGUCAGUAGGUUGGUCGUGCCACCGGUACGUACUGGUCUCACUGAUUCCUCCUUCCUGAAGAACCGUAAUGCCAUUAAUUUGGUGUUGCGGGGAAACAGGACUGUUACUUUGAAAAAAUUAGAGUGCUUAAAGCAAGCUAACGCUUGAAUACAUUAGCAUGGAAUAAUGAAAUAGGACGAUCGAUCCUAUUUUGUUGGUUUCUAGGAUUGACGUA